GACGAACGCUGGCGGCGUGCUUAACACAUGCAAGUCGAACGGAAAGGCCCUGCUUUUGUGGGGUGCUCGAGUGGCGAACGGGGGAGUAACACGUGAGUAACCUGCCCUUGACUUUGGGAUAACUUCAGGAAACUGGGGGUAAUACCGGAAAGGAGCUCCUGCUGCAUGGUGGGGGUUGGAAAGUUUCGGCGGUUGGGGAUGGACUCGCGGCUUAUCAGCUUGUUGGUGGGGUAGUGGCUUACCAAGGCUUUGACGGGUAGCCGGCCUGAGAGGGUGACCGGCCACAUUGGGACUGAGAUACGGCCCAGACUCCUACGGGAGGCAGCAGUGGGGAAUAUUGCACAAUGGGCGGAAGCCUGAUGCAGCAACGCCGCGUGCGGGAUGACGGCCUUCGGGUUGUAAACCGCUUUCGCCUGUGACGAAGCGUGAGUGACGGUAAUGGGUAAAGAAGCACCGGCUAACUACGUA
Molecule: ribosomal RNA, 468 nt
Filed under: uncultured bacterium
Lineage: Bacteria
Description: partial 16S ribosomal RNA
Rfam family: Bacterial small subunit ribosomal RNA
Source: RNAcentral